GGCCUGAUAGCUCAGGGGUUAAGAGCACUAGACAUGUAAUCCAGACAUAGUGGUUUGCUGGUUCAAAUCCAGCUCAGGUCA
Hysterangium stoloniferum is the source of this 81-nucleotide non-coding RNA. The record is from the annotation of a GenBank genome assembly. Lineage: Eukaryota; Fungi; Basidiomycota; Agaricomycetes; Hysterangiales; Hysterangiaceae.